Molecule: long non-coding RNA, 161 nt
Organism: Bradysia coprophila
Lineage: Eukaryota; Metazoa; Arthropoda; Insecta; Diptera; Sciaridae
Source: RefSeq, a predicted model, not a curated record
UUACCACUUUACCAAUUGUAACACUACGUUCUCGUAUCACUGAGUAAUGGGAAAUCUUUUCCGGUUGCUUAGAAAUGCCAACUCAGUAAUAGUACAUUACUGUCUCGCUGGGACAUUUUUAGGUUGUAGCGUGUGGGAAGUGUGUAUUUCGAGCCGAAGGC